CUCUGACACAGGUGCUGCAUGGCUGUCGCCAGCUCGUGUCGUGAGAUGUUGGGUUAAGUCCCGUAACGAGCGCAACCCUUGUCCUUAGUUACCAGCACGUUAUGGUGGGCACUCUAAGGAGACUGCCGGUGACAAACCGGAGGAAGGUGGGGAUGACGUCAAGUCAUCAUGGCCCUUACGGCCUGGGCUACACACGUGCUACAAUGGUCGGUACAAAGGGUUGCCAAGCCGCGAGGUGGAGCUAAUCCCAUAAAACCGAUCGUAGUCCGGAUCGCAGUCUGCAACUCGACUGCGUGAAGUCGGAAUCGCUAGUAAUCGUGAAUCAGAAUGUCACGGUGAAUACGUUCCCGGGCCUU
This 356-nucleotide ribosomal RNA is filed under the name uncultured Pseudomonas sp. Its description in RNAcentral is "bacterial SSU rRNA". It matches the Rfam family "Bacterial small subunit ribosomal RNA", at positions 1027 to 1382 of the family's 1533-position model. The record is from RNAcentral. Lineage: Bacteria; Pseudomonadati; Pseudomonadota; Gammaproteobacteria; Pseudomonadales; Pseudomonadaceae.